AGCAAACAGGAUUAGAUACCUUGGUAGUCCACGCCGUAAACGAUGAGUGCUAAGUGUUGGAGGGUUUCCGCCCUUCAGUGCUGCAGCAAACGCAUUAAGCACUCCGCCUGGGGAGUACGACCGCAAGGUUGAAACUCAAAGGAAUUGACGGGGGCCCGCACAAGCGGUGGAGCAUGUGGUUUAAUUCGAAGCAACGCGAAGAACCUUACCAGGUCUUGACAUCCUUUGACCACUCUAGAGAUAGAGCUUUCCCUUCGGGGACAAAGUGACAGGUGGUGCAUGGUUGUCGUCAGCUCGUGUCGUGAGAUGUUGGGUUAAGUCCCGCAACGAGCGCAACCCUUAUUGUUAGUUGCCAUCAUUUAGUUGGGCACUCUAGCGAGACUGCCGGUGACAAACCGGAGGAAGGUGGGGAUGACGUCAAAUCAUCAUGCCCCUUAUGACCUGGGCUACACACGUGCUACAAUGGGAAGUACAACGAGUCGCUAGACCGCGAGGUCAUGCAAAUCUCUUAAAGCUUCUCUCAGUUCGGAUUGCAGGCUGCAACUCGCCUGCAUGAAGCCGGAAUCGCUAGUAAUCGCGGAUCAGCACGCCGCGGUGAAUACGUUCCCGGGCCUUGUACACACCGCCCGUCACACCACGAGAGUUUGUAACACCCGAAGUCGGUGAGGU
This 669-nucleotide ribosomal RNA is filed under the name Enterococcus faecalis. RNAcentral describes it as "bacterial SSU rRNA". It matches the Rfam family "Bacterial small subunit ribosomal RNA", at positions 767 to 1436 of the family's 1533-position model. The record is from RNAcentral. Lineage: Bacteria; Bacillati; Bacillota; Bacilli; Lactobacillales; Enterococcaceae.